AUGAUAUCGUUGCAUGACCUGUACACAGUCCUGGCGGCGGUGGUUCCGCUCUACGUGGCGAUGAUCCUGGCGUACGGCUCGGUGAGGUGGUGGGGCAUCUUCACGCCCGACCAGUGCUCCGGCAUCAACCGCUUCGUCGCCAUCUUCGCCGUGCCGCUGCUCUCCUUCCACUUCAUCUCCACCAACGACCCCUACGAGAUGAACCUCCGCUUCCUGGCCGCGGACACGCUGCAGAAGCUCCUCGUCCUGGCGCUGCUCGCCGUGUGCUCGCGUCUGAUCCCCUCGCGGCGGGCCUGGGUGCCGCGGCUGGACUGGUCCAUCACGCUCUUCUCGCUGUCGACGCUGCCCAACACGCUCGUCAUGGGGAUACCUUUGCUCAUAGCCAUGUACGGCCCCUACGCUGGCUCGCUCAUGGUCCAGAUUGUCGUGCUCCAGUGCAUCAUCUGGUACACGCUGCUGCUCUUCCUCUUCGAGUUCCGCGCCGCUCGCCUGCUAAUCGCUGACCAGUUCCCCGACACCGCGGCGUCCAUCGUGUCGCUGCAUGUAGACCCCGACGUGGUGUCGCUGGAGGGCGGCCACGCGGAGGCGGAGUCUGAGGUGGCGGCGGACGGGCGGCUACACGUCACCGUGAGCCGGUCCUCGGUGUCGAGGCGGUCGACGCUGCUGGUGACGCCGCGGCCGUCAAAUCUGACGGGCGCGGAGAUCUACUCCUUGAGCUCGUCGCAGAACCCCACCCCGCGGGGCUCCAACUUCAACCAGGCGGACUUCUUCGCCGUCGUCGGUGGUGCGCCGCCCGCCAGGGUGGACGGCUCGAGCUUCGGCGCCUCCGAGCACUACUCGCUACAGUCGUCGCAGGGGCCGACGCCGAGGGAGUCCAACUUGGACGAGCACUCGGCAGCGCCAAAGCAAGCCAUGACAGACGCCGGAGCGCAGCACAACCAUGAUGCCAAGGAGCUGCACAUGUUCGUGUGGAGCUCCAGCGCCUCUCCCGUCUCAGAAGUAGUAAGCGGCUUGCCGGUGUUCAGCGGCGGUACAGGCGCAGCGCAUCUCGAUGCCGCCGCCAAGGAAAUCCGCAUGGUUGUCCCCGCGGACCCGCCGCAGAAUGGCUCAUGCAAAGAGAACGGGAGCUACACCGCGGCAGCGAGGGGAUGCAGAAAGGCAGUGGAGCACGACGGCGACGCGGUGCAGGCCGGGCCGGACAGGCUGACUCCGAGGCUGAACUCCAGCCCCGGCGAUGAGGACGGAGCGGAAACCGGGAGGGCGCGGCAGCACCAAAUGCCGCCGGCGAGCGUGAUGACACGGCUCAUACUGAUCAUGGUGUGGCGCAAGCUCAUCCGCAACCCCAACACGUACUCCAGCCUAAUCGGCCUCACCUGGUCCCUCGUCGCCUUCCGGUGGCACGUCUCCAUGCCAACGAUGGUCGAGAAGUCCAUCUCCAUCCUCUCGGACGCUGGGCUGGGGAUGGCCAUGUUUAGCCUGGGACUGUUCAUGGCGCUGCAGCCGAGCAUCAUCGCCUGCGGCAACCCCGCCGCCGUCGCCUCCAUGGCCGUCCGCUUCCUCGCGGGCCCUGCCGUCACUGCUGCCGCGUCAGCUGCCGUCGGUCUACGUGGGACGCUUCUCAAGGUCGCCAUUGUUCAGGCGGCUCUACCACAAGGGAUUGUACCUUUUGUUUUCGCCAAGGAAUACAAUGUCCAUCCUGAGAUCCUGAGCACUGCCGUAAUUUUUGGCAUGCUGAUAGCUCUUCCGAUUACAUUGGCCUACUACGCCCUUCUUGGACUGGUACACUGA
Molecule: ribosomal RNA, 1788 nt
Filed under: Triticum aestivum (bread wheat)
Lineage: Eukaryota; Viridiplantae; Streptophyta; Magnoliopsida; Poales; Poaceae
Description: partial small subunit ribosomal RNA
Source: RNAcentral